RNAcentral lists this small RNA (29 nucleotides) under Bombyx mori (domestic silkworm). RNAcentral's name for it is "ovarian small RNA-22684". Lineage: Eukaryota; Metazoa; Arthropoda; Insecta; Lepidoptera; Bombycidae. The record is from RNAcentral.
UAGGAUGAGGUCCAUCACCACGUUGAAGA